GUUGCUGGAACCUCUGUGAAAGCAGAGGAAGCUGGAAAGGAUGUAAUACAGUAGCUGCUGAUGAUCAUCUUGCCACCAUAGGGCUCUUUCAGAUCUUCAAGAAUGUUUAAGCAUACAAAGAAGCCCCGAGACCACAAGGGUGAGAACUACCAUCCUCCCCGCUCUCCGGAUGCUCCCACAGCCUGGGCUCCCCAGUGCAGAGCCAGCACCAAGCAGGAGAUGCAGUACAGUGUGCCCAGGACCAUGGCAGCCAUCACAUAUGCCCUCCACUGGGGAACAAGAAGUGCGUUAGGCUGAUGUACUCCACUCCACCUCCAUACGUGUUUGUGCAGUGACACCAGCCUGGAGGGCCUUCUAUCGCCAUCUCCCUCCUCUGUAAAUCCUACCCACUCUUUGAGUCUUGGCCCAAGGGCUGCUGUCUCUCUCUCUCUCAAAUGAUUUCUGUGUUCUCAUUUGUCUCUGCCUUCUCUGGGAAUCUUUGGUGCCACAGGGUAAUCUCCUGUGUGUCACUCCUGACUUCCUAAUUCAUCUGCCAUCUCCUUCCUUGAAAGCGGAAAUAGUGACUUCUUCUGCUUCCCUACAUUGCCUAAUAACAAUAACAACUACCAUAAUAAUACUUGCUAACAAUUAUUAAACAGUCACCAUUAUAAUAUUAGCUCAUUUACUCCUUGCAACAGCUCUCUAAGGUGGGCUCUAUGAUAUUAGCCUCAUUUUACAGAUGAGAGGACUGAGGCUCAGAAAGGUUAAAGAACUGCCCAAGCCACACAGUUCAGAAAUGGAGGCCAGCAUAUAAGCCAGUUCAACUCUGAUUGGCGACUGCUAGAAAUCAAUGGAGUGAUAUGCACUUAGCACUGUGCCGGGGGGAUAGAAAGUGCUCUACUACCCAGUAAGCAUUUAUUGAGCACCUACUAUGUGUCAGGCACUGCUAGGUGCUGUGGGUUCAGCUGUGAGCCAAGCAAAGUCCCUUCUCUCCUCGUGCUUGUAGGCUGUUCCUGCCUAAGCCUUCCCUCUGCUGUUCCCUCAGCUUGAAAUGUUUUCCCCAGGUUCCCACAUGGCUUGCUCCAUCACCUCCUUUAGGUCUCUGCUCAAAUAUCACCUUAUCAGUGAGGCUUCCUCUGACCUCACCACCUAAAAUCUCAACUUGCUCUGCCCUUCCCUGCAGCACAUCCUGCCCGAUGCCUGCAUGUGCUAUGGGCCUCACUCACUCAUGGGUAAUAUCUGUUUCCCCUGCAGGACGUCAGCUCUGUGAGGGUGGAAGAUGUGUCUGUCUUUUCCCUGCUAUAGCCUCUGGCACAGCAUAGCACCUGGUAUACAGUAGAUGCUCAGAAACCAUGUGCCAAAUGGAUGAAUGAGCAUGGUUGGUGGUGAAAAUUGUUAUGAGGAAGAAUGAAGAGAGUUGGUGAGCAGGAAGUUGCUGUUGCCAUCAAGGGAGCCAUUGUCCCAUGAGCCAUUGAACUCCACGGAGCCCUAGUUUAUGCUGCUGUGGAAGUGGCUCCCCAGCUUUCCCUAGAUGUGGGCUCCUACUAGCAUGCUGACAGCUUCCAUACCUAUGCCUGCGGAGGCGACUUAGGAGACCAGCGGACUUACUUCCUGGUCCCAGGAUGAAGUAAAGAAGCCAGCAGAUGGUGCCAAAGGCAACCUCUAUUUACCCUUGCUGCUCAUUAGCAUAAGACACUCCCACCAGUGCCGUGACAGUUUACAAAUGCCAUGGCAACGAGCUGCAAGUUACCACCCCUUUCCAUGGCAACAACUCGGCAUUUGUUCUUUUCUAGAGCAUUCUGAAUAACAAACCUCUUAAUUUGCAUGUAAUUAAAAACUUUUGGGUCUGGUAAAGAUCUUAAAUGUUUUUAGCACACACACACACACAAAUGUAAGUGGGUGAGGUGACAGAUGUGUUAACUAACACGAUUGUGGCACUCAUUUCACAAUGUAUAUGUAUAUCAAAUCAGCAUGUUGCACACCAUAAAUUUACACAAUUUUGUCAAUCAUACCUCAAGAAAGCUGGGAAAACAGAAUCAUACCACAAAUUCACUGUUUUAGAACAUGCAAUUAAGCAGUUUUAGUAUAUUUACAGAACUGUGCAACCAUUAUCACUACUAAUUCUAGCAUAUUUUAAUCAUCCCAAAAAGAAACCCUGUACCCAUUAGUAGUUACUCCCCAAUCCUCUCUCCCUCUAGUGUGUGGCAACAAGUUGUAGCAUGUAUCACUACUUCAUUUCUUUUUAUGGCCAAAUAACAUUCCAUUGUGUGGUUACACCACAUUUUGCUUAUCCAUUUAUCAACUGAUGCACAUUUGGAUUGUUUCUACCUUUUGGCUAUUGGGAACAGUGCUGCUGUGAACAGCCUGUGUACGUUUUUGUCUGAACACUUGUUUUCAAUUCCUUGGUCAUAUACCUAGGAGUAGAAUUGCUGGAUCCUAUGGUAACUCUGUUAUCAUAACUUUUUGAGGAACUGCCAAACUGUUUUCCAAAAGGGCUGCACCAUUUUACAUUCCCACUUUCAGUGCAGGAGGGUCCUAAUUUCUCUACAUUUUCACCAACACUUGUUGUCUAUCUUUUUUAUCAUAGCUAUCCUAAUGAGCGCAAAGUGGUGUCUCCAUGUGGUUUUCCUUUGCAUUUAAAGAUUACUAAUGAAUCAGUCUGGCGUGGUGGUGUGCGCCUGUAGUCCCAGCUACUUGGGAAGCUGAGGCACAAGAAUCACUGGAACCUGGGAGGCGGAGGUUGCAGUGAGCUGAGAUCUUGCCACUGCACUCCAGCCUGGGCAACAGAGCAAGACUCUGUCUAAAAAAAAAGAAAAGGAAUUUAGUACUACUAAUAAGCACAUUUUCAUGCUGAUUUGUUUGUUUUAAAGAUGCCAAAGAUCUAGAUGGGUUUUUAUGUGUGAAAUUUUCUGAUUUUAAAAUGUUGGUCCCAGAUCAUGGGGUGUUCAGAGCAGCAGGCUCCCAUGCUGGAGGGCCACACCACCCCCUGGCCAGGCCUGCUCAGCAUUGGCUUAUGUUUGGCCCAUGUUUGCCAACCACCUCCUUCAGUUCCCUGUUGUUCCCUCCAUGUCAGUCACUUUGAAUUUCUCCCAUUCCUCACACAUAGCAAGUUCUUUUCCACCCCAGGGCCUCUGCACUUGCUGUUCUUUCUGCCAAGCACACUUUCUCCCCAAAUCUCUGCUUGGUUGGUUUUUCAUGUUGCAGGUCUCAGCUCAAAUGUCAACUCCUCAGGGUUGCGAUCCCUGGCUACCCUAACAUAGCCCCAAAAUUUGCUGCUAGUAACUGUCCCAUUUCUAUUUCAUUGUCUUCAGAGAACUAUUGGCAUCUGAAAUUACCUUGCUGUGUAUUUAUUUACAGCUGUCCUUAGUUAUACACAGAGGAUUAUUUCCAGGACCUCUUGUAUAUACACAAAUUCACAUGUACUCAAGUCCUUUAGUGUUUAUUGGAGUCCACGGAUACUAUAUUUCUUUCUUUCCUCUUUUUUUUUUUUUUAAGAGAGAGGGUCUUGCUUUGUUGCCCAGGCUAGAGUGCAGUGGCAUGAUCACAGCUCACUGCAGCCUUGAACUCCUGGAUUCAAGCGAUCCUCCCACCUCAUCCAUCCAAGUAGCUGGGAUUACAGACAUGAGCCACAGUGCCUGACUCAGAUACUUUAUUUUUUAUUUACAUUUGGUUGAAAUAAAUUUGCCUAUAAGUGGAAUCACAUAGUUCAAACACGUGUUGUUUAAGGGUCAACUGUGUUCAUUUACUAUCUAUCCCACUAAGAUAUAAACUGUAAGAGCAGAAAUCAUGUCUCUUAUUCCCUGCUAUAACUUCCGUACCCUGCACCUAGCAGGUGCUUAAUACAUGUUUGAUGAAUGAGUAAAUAAGCUACAAAUGAGGAAAAUGAGGCUUUGAGAUGUUAAGUCACUUGCCCAAGGUCCCACAGUUAAUUAGUGGAAGAGCCACAACAGGAAAGGUUUUCUAUGUGCAGAUCCUGCAGCCCAGGAAGGAGAGACUUGCCUGAGUCUAAUAGCAAGUCAGCAAGAAAACAAAGGCCGCCAAGGUCUUUCCAUGGGCUGCUGAAUGAGGUUGGCACUGGGUGCCUGUCAAGCUCCAGGGGCCUGUCUGCAGUCGGUCUCAGCUGAGGGAGACCCUCCACCUCCAGGGACUCAGUCAACAAGACCUGGCUCCUCUAGAAGCCUCCAUAGAUGAAGGGCCCCCUGGAAAUCCCCAGAGAGAUUUCUGGAGGCCAGAGGUAGGAGGACAAUUCAGCAUCCAGAGGAGAAAGGAUUUUCUAACAGGCAGAGCAGCAGUGAUGGAAGGACAGGUGGCAAACUCCCCAUUGCCUGAGGGAGAUAAGCGGAGAUGAGUAUCAGGAGGGGACCAGCUCCACUCAGCUCUGCCACAUGUUACACUCAGGAAAGAGGCUGGGGGAGCACUGGCAAAACUCAGGAGAGGAAGAGGCACCAGUGCCCAGUCUAGUGCACGUGACAUUUGACUGAAUCAGUGGGACUGGUGGGAGCAAUGAUAAUGCAGCUUUAUUUUGACAUCCCAGUGUCCACACACCCUGAUGGGUGAACUGGAAUCUUCACAGGCACUGAGAUGGAAUCUAGGGCAGGUCCCAGUGACUCUGGUAAUUGAAAGUCUUCCUGUCACUUUUUCCCCUCAAAGAGCUUCAAUUCAUCUAUUCAUAAAAAUAAAUUUCUGCAAUGAUAAAAAUGUACCAGAAGCAAGUCAAAAGACAAAAAACAGAAUAGGAAAAAAAAUUGUGAUUCAUAUCUCAAAGUGUAUGUCUCCCUGAUUCUGAGACAUUAGUUUCCUAUACAUAAGUGAACAGAGGAUAUAAAUAGAGGUUCACAGAAAAGAGGAUGCAAUGGCUUCUGACUGCACGAAAAGAUACUCAACAUCCUUCAUAAUCAGGGAAAUGUUAAGGCAAACUAUGAUGGGGUCAGAUCUAGUUCUGGGCAAGAUGGAGUAAUAAGCAUGUUCCACCCCACCUCUCCUGCUGAAGGCAGCUAUAAAACCUGGACAGGAUGCACAGGCCAGCUAUGUGAGGACUCUGAAAAGUAAAUGGUAGAAGGUAACUUGAAGAAGAUCAGAAAUCAAAGUACCAUCCUGAGUUUACCUUUUUGCCCCCUUCUUGUUUCCUGGCUAGAACAAAAUGUAGCCUGGAAGUGGGGACUGGGACCACACAGGAAAACUCCAGUAGAAGCCCUCUAGUGCUGGCUUAAGGACCAGGAAUUUCUAAUGCCACUCUCCUGCCCUGAGUUUCUUUCUUCUUCCUGCUCUCCUAUGCCCCAGCCACCAGGGAGUCCCUGGCAGGAAUGACAGAGGCCUCAAAGCAUUGGGAACCUGCAGGAGCUGAAACUCAGAGGGAGGAGAAUGUUCUUCAUGCAUCAGCAGAGUUGUGAUCCCAAAAGGAAGGGAGCAAACCCCUGUUGCUUUUUCUUCUUUGUGCUCCCACCACCUGGCCCUGCCAUGAAGAGUGCAGCACAGCGGGAUGCUGCAGCUUUAGCUUUCUGGCUGGGAGCGUGAAAAGGGAGCCCCAGGAAACAGGAAAGUACCAGGGAGAUUGUAAAAAGGGAGGAGCUUGUGAAAGCAACCCCAUUACAUUGUUUACGAACUCCUUGAGGCACUCUCCAAUUGCACAUGUGUGGAUCUGAUUGUAAUCACCAUAUAAAGGCUCUGAGAAAUGUGCUAACAGGCCACAUGCUCAGGUCCCAGACUCCCUGCUGGGUAGUGCACACAGGGUACCAGACAGUCAGCAAAGGCUUUGCAGACUGAGCUGACAUUGGAACCACCACACACAGAAGGUUGGGACUUGAGGCCUGAACCUGACCAGGUUGACUGCCAGCCAAAACACAAGAUAUAAAUGUUUCCCAUAGAACUUAAAUAAGACCCAGAGCCUCAAAAUAUAAUACAGAAAACGUUCAGGUUACAAUCCCAAACUACUCAGCUUGUGAAGAUCCAGGAAAAUGUCAACUCUCCUGGGAGAAGACAUCAACAGAUGCCCACUCCUAGAUGACACAGAUGUUGGGGUUAUCUGAUACCUUUUGAAGAAAUUACUACAAAAAUACUCAAAUGAGUAAGGGUAGAUAUUCUCUUUUUCUUGAGAUAAAAUUCAAGUAACAGGCCGGGCGCGGUGGCUCACGCCUGUUAUCCCAGCACUUUGGGAGGCCGAGGCGGGUGGAUCAUGAGGUCAGGAGUUCAAGACCAGCCUGGCCAAGAUAGUGAAACCCCGUCUCUACUAAAAAUACAAAAAAUUAGCCGGGCGCAGUGGCAGGUGCCUGUAAUCCCAGCUACUUGGGAGGCUGAGGCAGGAGAAUCGCUUGAACUUGGAGGGUGGAGGUUGCAGUGAGCCAAGAUCGCACCACUGCACUCUAGCCUGGGUGACAGAGUGAGACUCCGUCACACACACACAAAAAAAUCAAGUAACAUAAAAUUAAUCAUUUUAACAGGGCGUUUAGUAUGUUCAAUGUUGUGUAACCAGUACCUCUAUCUAGUUCUAAAUAUUUUCGUCAACCCAAAAUAAAGCCUAGUAUCCAUUAAGCAGUACUUCCCAUUGUCCCUUCCACACAGCACCCAGCAACCAUCAAUCAGCUUUCUCUCUCUAUGGAUUUACCUAUUCUGGAUAUUUUAUAUAACAUGUAGCUGUCAUAGUAUGUGACUCUUGUGUCUGAGUUUUCACUUAGCAUAAUGGUUUUGAGGUUACCUAGAGUUAGCCAAACUGCAGGUAACCUCAAAAACAUUGUGCUAAGGUAGGGUCUUCCAGACCACCAAAUUUGACUCCCAAGACUCUGACACAAAUUUCAAGUUCAAGGGGUUCCUAAAACCACCCUCAGGUUGUAUAAUUCACCAGAAAGACUCGCUGAAACCUAUUAUAUGUACGUCUAUGUUUAUUACAACAAAAAUAUACAAAUUAGAACCAGCCAGAGGAAGAGAUGCAUAGGAUGGAGUUGGGAGGGGUCUAAAUGGGGAGUGUCCGGUGUCCUCUCCCCAGGGUCAUGGACAGUUACUUCCUCGUGACCAUGAUGUGUGAUAACAUGCACAGAGUAUUGCCAACCAGGGAAGCUCACCUGAACUUUGGUAUCUAGAGUUUUUAAUGAGGCUUCACUACAUGGGCAUGAUUGAUUAAACUCAAUCUUCAGCCCACUCCACCCCAACCCUGGAGGUUGGGUUGAAAGCUCUCACAGUAAAUUCUAUGUUUGGUUUUUCUGGUGUGGCCAGCCCCUCCACCCUAAGACUAUCAGGUGUGAGUGGCGUUAUGAAUAAUCUCAUCAACAUAAACUAUCAGGUGUGGUCCCAGUGACUCAACAGGAAUAAAGAGGACACUCCUGUCAUGUUGGAAAUUCUAGACAUUUCUUUGAGUGAGGCCAAAUUCCUUACAACAUGGAAGUUUAUCCAUUAUAGCAUUUAUCAAUACUUCAUUACUUUUUUGUUUCUGAAUAAUCCAUUUUAUGUGUACACGAUUUGUUUAUUCACUUGUUUAUUGCUGGACAUUUGGGUUGUUUCCACCUUUGGGGUAUUUUGAAUAAUGCUGCUAUUAAACAUGGAUGUACAAGUAUCUGAGUACCUGUUUUCAAUUCUUUUGAAUAUAUAUCUGGGAUGUUUAACUUUAUGCAUUAAUUUGACUGGAUUAUGGGAUACCCAGAUCUAUGGUAAAACGUUAUUUCAGAGUGUGUCUGUGAGGGUGUUUUCUAGAUUAGUAUUUGAAUCAGUGGAUGGAGUAAAGAAGAUCAUCCUCCCCAGUGUGGGCAGACAUCAUGGAUGAACUUCGGUGUUGAAGGCCCAUUAAAAUAGAACAAAAAUGUGGAGGAAGUGCAAAUUCUCUCUCUUUUUCAGCUGGAUCACCUUCUCCUGCUCUCAGACAAUGGAGCUCUUGGUUCUCAGGCUUUUGGACUCUAAGGCUUAUAUCAAUAGCCUCCCACCCCCAGAUUCUCAGACCUUAGGCCUUGGAGUGGGAGUUACACCACUGGCUUCCCUGAUUCUCAGGCUCUCAGACUUCAACUGAAUUACAUCACCAUCUUUCCUGGUUCUUCAGCUUGUAAAUAGUAUGUCAUGGGACUUCUUGGCCUCUGUAAUUGCAUGAAACAAUUCCCAUAAUAAAUCUUCUCUAUAUGUAUUGCAUUGGUUCUGUUUCUCUGGAGAACUCUGACUAAUAUAAUUCCUAAGAGUGGAAUUUCUGGGUCAUAUGUAAUUCUAUGUUUAGCUUUUUGAGGAGCCACCAAAUUGUUUUCCAC
Molecule: long non-coding RNA, 8198 nt
Filed under: Homo sapiens (human)
Lineage: Eukaryota; Metazoa; Chordata; Mammalia; Primates; Hominidae
Description: non-protein coding lnc-SNPH-6:4
Source: RNAcentral